GGCAACGUAGCUCAGCGGUUAGAGCGGGCGCUUCAUAAGCGCUAGGUCACAGGUUCGAUCCCUGUCGUUGCCAC
RNAcentral lists this transfer RNA (74 nucleotides) under Chloroflexota bacterium. Its description in RNAcentral is "tRNA-Met". It matches the Rfam family "tRNA". Rfam says of the family: Transfer RNA (tRNA) molecules are approximately 80 nucleotides in length. Their secondary structure includes four short double-helical elements and three loops (D, anti-codon, and T loops). Lineage: Bacteria; Bacillati; Chloroflexota. The record is from RNAcentral.